This is a long non-coding RNA of Echinops telfairi (small Madagascar hedgehog), 321 nucleotides long. RefSeq lists it as uncharacterized. NCBI's taxonomy places the organism in Eukaryota, Metazoa, Chordata, Mammalia, Afrosoricida, Tenrecidae. The transcript is spliced from 2 exons. The record is from RefSeq and is a predicted model, not a curated record.
CCUGAUGGAAAUGGCUGAAGAAGAGCGGCGAGAGUACCAGCGACGGAAACAGGAAGAAGAGGAGAAGGCUAGACUUGAGGCAGAGGAGAGGAGGCAAAAGGAAGAGGAGGCAGCAAGGCUGGCUCUGGAAGCAGCUAGGAAGCAAGCCCAGGAACUAGCCAGGCAAAAAGCUGCUUUGGAGGAACAGCUUCAUUUCUGGCAAGAGCUCCAGAGAGAAGCCAGCGGCCUGCAGUGGACACACAACAUCUCCAGACCAUGGGUCUACUCCUAUUUCCAUCUUCUACAACUACCCAGGCCGUAAGGCAACCAAAACCUACAAAA